GGUGGAACAUUUUAUGGGACAUUCACUGGAUAAAAUGAUUGCUACCUAUAUAUAUCGCUUUAUGCCUGUCGCACCGGAUCUUAAAUUUAUUUAUGUGCCAAUUAAGGAAGAAGGUGACCACUGGUAUCUUAUGGUCAUUAGCUUAUUGGAUGAAAAAUUAUAUCAGUUUGAUUCUAAUCUAAAUGACGAUCAAGUUGAGCCAAGACAAGAAAUUAUGAAAUCCUUGUCGCGACUCUGGUCUCUGGGUUCUUCAAUGGUUGUCUAUGAGAGAGAAGUUUAAUCCCACAGUGUCGGGCAUUCUAAAUGAGCAAUAUAUCCGUACAUCCGUCGUGGUAGAUCUUUUGUUGGGGAUGUUCAAUGACCACAAAUAUGAGUUUCAG
Molecule: non-coding RNA, 380 nt
Organism: Arachis ipaensis
Lineage: Eukaryota; Viridiplantae; Streptophyta; Magnoliopsida; Fabales; Fabaceae
Source: RefSeq, a predicted model, not a curated record